Molecule: non-coding RNA, 147 nt
Filed under: Chlorocebus sabaeus (green monkey)
Lineage: Eukaryota; Metazoa; Chordata; Mammalia; Primates; Cercopithecidae
Source: Rfam by way of RNAcentral
GCCGGGCGUGGUGGUGCGCGCCUGUAGUCCCAGCUACUCGGAGGCUGAGGCAGGAGAAUGGCGUGAACCCAGGAGGCGGAGCUUGCAGUGAGCCGAGAUAGUGCCACUGCACUCCAGCCUGGGUGACAAAGUGAGACUCUGUCUCAA